This 406-nucleotide ribosomal RNA is filed under the name uncultured bacterium. RNAcentral's name for it is "partial 16S ribosomal RNA". It matches the Rfam family "Bacterial small subunit ribosomal RNA", at positions 30 to 526 of the family's 1533-position model. The record is from RNAcentral.
AUUGAACGCUGGCGGCAGGCCUAACACAUGCAAGUCGAACGAAUGGCGGACGGGUGAGUAAUGUCUGGGAAACAGCCUGACGGAGGGGGAUAACUACAGGAAACGGUAGCUAAUAACGCUUACCAUCAGAUGUGCCCAGAUGGGAUUAGCUUGUUGGUGGGGUUACGGCUCACCCAGGCGACGAUCCCUACAGGGUCUGGGAGGAUGACCAGCCACACUCGAACUGAGACACGUCCCAUACUCCUAGGGUAGGCAGCAGGGGGGAAUAUUGCACAAUGUGCGCAAGCCUUAUGCAGCCAUUCCGCGUGUAUUAAGAAGGCCUUCGGGUUGUAAAGUUCUUUCAGCGGGGAGGCGUUACCCGCAGAAGUAGCACCGGCUAACUCCGUGCCGGCCGCCGCGGUAAUUC